RNAcentral lists this ribosomal RNA (357 nucleotides) under Triticum aestivum (bread wheat). RNAcentral's name for it is "partial small subunit ribosomal RNA". Lineage: Eukaryota; Viridiplantae; Streptophyta; Magnoliopsida; Poales; Poaceae. The record is from RNAcentral.
AUGAACGCGCCAGAACACAUCAUCCUAGCCUCAUUCAUGCAAGGAAGGGGUGUCCAUGCAUGUGUCUCAGAGUUGUACAUCUCCGCGGCACUCAGUUUCCUUCCAAGCGAAUCGAUCCCCCCCGCGACAUAUGCCUUUUCACCAGCACUUGUCGACCCAAAUAGGCAAAGCGGUGAGUUCAUCGGACCAGCCCGUGUCCAUGAAUUUGUUAGGAUGCUAUAUUUGUAUACAAUGUGUGCCAUCCCAAACACCAGUAGCUCGGUUCCGACAGCGAGGGACUCCUUGUCGGAGCACAUGAAGCAUUCGUCUUGUGGCAUCCUGGGCACUUCGAUCCAGCGUCCGCAGUGUGGGUCGUAA